RNAcentral lists this ribosomal RNA (460 nucleotides) under uncultured bacterium. RNAcentral describes it as "partial 16S ribosomal RNA". It matches the Rfam family "Bacterial small subunit ribosomal RNA", at positions 338 to 795 of the family's 1533-position model. The record is from RNAcentral.
CCUACGGGUGACAGCAGUGAGGAAUAUUGGUCAAUGGCCGGAAGGCUGAACCAGCCAUGCCGCGUGAAGGUCAGUGCCCUAUGGGCGUUAAACUUCUUUUGUGCGGGAGCAAUAAUGGUCACGUGUGGCCAGACGAGAGUACCGUACGAAUAAGCAUCGGCUAACUCCGUUCCAGCAGCCGCGGUAAUACGGGGGAUGCAAGCGUUAUCCGGAUUUAUUGGGUUUAAAGGGUGCGUAGGCUGUGAGGUAAGUCAGCGGUGAAAUGCCCCCGCUCAACGGGGUGAAGUGCCAUUGAUACUGCCUGGCUGGAAUGCGGAUGCAGUGGGAGGAAUGUGUGGUGUAGCGGUGAAAUGCAUAGAUAUCACACAGAACACCGAUUGCGAAGGCAUCUCACGAAUCCGCGAUUGACGCUGAUGCACGAAAGCGUGGGUAUCAAACAGGAUUAGAUACCCGAGUAGUC